AAAGUGGAUCAAGCGGUCGCUGCUCGCCAGGUCGCGAGACGUGGCGGGGAGAGGAAAGUCCGGACUCCAUAGGGCAGGGUGGCUGUUAACGGCGGCCCCGAGCGAUCGGGGGAAAGUGCCACAGAAAAGAUACCGCCCGCCGAUUUUUAUGGCGGGUAAGGGUGAAAAGGCGAGGUAAGAGCUCACCGGUCUGCCAGUAAUGGUAGAUGCCUGGUAAACCCCACCUGGAGCAAGACCAAAUAGGAGGGUUGGGUGGUCCGCCCAUAGCCCUCGGGUAAGGUCGCCAGACCUUAUGAGCAAUCAUAGGGCAAGAUGAAUGAUCGCUGUGGCUCCUCAUAGGAGCCGCGACAGAAUCCGGCUUAUCGAUCCACUUUAGCC
Molecule: non-coding RNA, 378 nt
Organism: Deltaproteobacteria bacterium GWD2_55_8
Lineage: Bacteria; Deltaproteobacteria
Source: Rfam